This 1550-nucleotide unclassified non-coding RNA is filed under the name Zea mays. Its description in RNAcentral is "misc RNA Zm00001eb254970". The record is from RNAcentral. Lineage: Eukaryota; Viridiplantae; Streptophyta; Magnoliopsida; Poales; Poaceae.
CGCCAGCAGUCUCCGCGCCACACCUGUCAGCACAACCUAUCCGAUUUCCGGGCUCAUCCCGACGUACAGCGUCACAUCGGCGUCGCCGCGAUGCUACUCCUCCCGGGGCGUCCAGUGCUCUCGCCGGCGCUGCAGUACUCCUCCUCGCCGUCACCAUCCCGUCUCCGCCCCCUCCCUUGCACCAGCAACGCCCCCACAUCUGCUUCCACCGCCGCAGACGCUGCCACGCCCUCGUCCUUCUCCGUCGAAGACUACCUCGUGAACAGGUGCAAUCUCUACGCCAACGUGGCCGCGCGCGUGGCGCCGGAGCUCUCCGCCAUCAGGUCUCCCUCGAAACCCGACGCCGUGCUCGCCUUCCUCGCCAACACGCUCGAGCUCUCCCCGCCGCUCAUUGCCGUGGCAGUGGCCCGCGACCCGACGAUACUCACCUGCAGCGUGCCAAGGACGCUCGCGCCGCGCGCGGAAGAGCUCCGCGCCCUCGGUUUCACCGCGUUUCAGAUGGGCCUUAUCGUCGCGCGUUGCGGCGCGGCCGCAUUCCGCUCACGCGCGCUCGUCCCCAGUGUCCAGUUCUGGCUCCCGUAUCUUCGUGGUCGCGUCGACAAGCUCGUCGCCGCGCUCAAGGGCAACCCGGGCCUCCUCACCGCCGACCUCCGGACGGUCAAGUCCACCGUCGCGCUGCUCCAAGAGGAAGGCACCCUCACCGAUGGCGACGUCGGCUGGUUCGCCAUCUCAUACUGCUCCAAGCUGCUUGUCGCGAGCCCGGACGAGGUCGACUCCGUCCUAGCCCGCGCCGACGAGUUCGGCGUGCCGCGCAAGACGCGGGCGUUCAAGGACGCGAUCAUCGCGGCGUUCAGCGUCACUCCGGAGCGGCUCGCAUGGAAGGUCGCGUUCUUCAGGGACGAGCUCGGGUGGACGGAGGCGCAGGUGAAGACGGCAGCUGCGAAGAUGCCGACGCUGAUGACGGUCUCCGCGGAGCGGAUCCGGAGGAACUGGGAGUUCCUGACCACAGAGGUCGGGAUGGACGCGGAGCGCGUGGCCAGCUUCCCGGCGCUGCUGAGGUACGACCUGGAGGGGCGGCUGGUGCCGCGGUUCCAGGUGAUGAGGGUGCUGCAGGCGCGGCGGCUGUGGCGCGGCAGGGACUUCAACAACAUCGCUGCCAUCACGGAGGAGGAUUUCGUGGCCAAGUUCAUCAGGCCAUUUCUGGUCAAAGUCCCAAGCUUGGCCAAGAUCUACGAGGCCGCUGUCAUCGAGAAGGAAGAACAGUAGCGGGAUAGUGUAUCAUCAGUGGGAUGCUGGACAACCGGAGAGCUGAUGAUCCCUGUAGAUAGCCAGGCAUAUGCAACUCCGUUGUAGAUUUUAGUUUUGAUAAAAGGAUUACAUGCCUUUAAUGCAAAGAUUAGAUUCAACAUGAAACUGUUGAACUGUGUAAAGUGAGAAACAACUUUUGAACACAGGAGUCCGGAGCUUCUAUUGUGAAGGCGUGGUAUAAUUGCCAUUUUUUUCUAUAGAAUUGUCUGCGCCACAAUUUUUAUUUUUCAGUUACGCCAUUU